AGCAGCCGCGGUAAUUCCAGCUCCAAUAGCGUAUAUUAAAGUUGCUGCAGUUAAAAAGCUCGUAGUUGAAUUUCGGGACCAUCAUGUCGGUCGUGCCUCGGUACGUACUGGCAUUGUUGGUUUCUACCUUCUGACGAACCAUGAUGUCAUUUAUUUGGUGUCGUGGGAAAUCAGGACUGUUACUUUGAAAAAAUUAGAGUGUUUAAAGCAGGCUCACGCUUGAAUACAUUAGCAUGGAAUAAUGAAAUAGGACGUUUGAUUCUAUUUUGUUGGUUUCUAGGAUCGACGUAAUGAUUAAUAGGGAUAGUUGGGGGCAUUAGUAUUCAAUUGUCAGAGGUGAAAUUCUUGGAUUUAUUGAAGACUAACUACUGCGAAAGCAUUUGCCAAGGAUGUUUUCAUUAAUCAAGAACGAAAGUUAGGGGAUCGAAGACGAUCAGAUACCGUCGUAGUCUUAACCAUAAACUAUGCCGACUAGGGAUCGGAUGAUGUUAAUUUUUUAAUGACCCA
Molecule: ribosomal RNA, 507 nt
Filed under: uncultured Glomus
Lineage: Eukaryota; Fungi; Glomeromycota; Glomeromycetes; Glomerales; Glomeraceae
Description: SSU rRNA
Rfam family: Eukaryotic small subunit ribosomal RNA
Source: RNAcentral